RNAcentral lists this ribosomal RNA (408 nucleotides) under uncultured bacterium. Its description in RNAcentral is "partial 16S ribosomal RNA". It matches the Rfam family "Bacterial small subunit ribosomal RNA", at positions 28 to 526 of the family's 1533-position model. The record is from RNAcentral.
GACGAACGCUGGCGGCGUGCUUACCACAUGCAAGUCGAACGAAGUGGCGAACGGGUGAGUAACGCGUAAUCAACCUGCCCUUCAGAGGGGGACAACAGUUGGAAACGACUGCUAAUACCCCAUACUGAAGGCGGGGCUUGCGUCUGACUAGCUCGUUGGAGGGGUAACGGCCCACCAAGGCGAUGAUCAGUAGCCGGGCUGAGAGGAUGAACGGCCAAAUUGGGAAUGAGACACGGCCCAGACUCCUACGGGAGGCAGCAGGGGGGAAUCUUCCGCAAUGGACGAAAGUCUGACGGAGCAACGCUGCGUGAGGGAUGACGGCCUUCGGGUUGGAAAGCUCUGUUAAUCGGGACGCGGUACCGGAAUAGAAAGCCACGGCUAACUACGUGCCAGCAGCCGCGGUAAUAC